This 464-nucleotide ribosomal RNA is filed under the name uncultured bacterium. RNAcentral's name for it is "partial 16S ribosomal RNA". It matches the Rfam family "Bacterial small subunit ribosomal RNA", at positions 339 to 795 of the family's 1533-position model. The record is from RNAcentral.
CUACGGGGGGCAGCAGUGGGGAAUAUUGCACAAUGGGCGCAAGCCUGAUGCAGCCAUGCCGCGUGUAUGAAGAAGGCCUUCGGGUUGUAAAGUACUUUCAGCGGGGAGGAAGGGAGUAAAGUUAAUACCUUUGCUCAUUGACGUUACCCGCAGAAGAAGCACCGGCUAACUCCGUGCCAGCAGCCGCGGUAAUACGGAGGGUGCAAGCGUUAAUCGGAAUUACUGGGCGUAAAGCGCACGCAGGCGGUUGGUUAAGUCAGAUGUGAAAUCCCCGGGCUCAACCUGGGAACUGCAUCUGAUACUGGCAAGCUUGAGUAUGCGAGAGGGGGGUAGAAUUCCAGGUGUAGCGGUGAAAUGCGUAGAGAUCUGGAGGAAUACCGGUGGCGAAGGCGGCCCCCUGGACGAAGACUGACGCUCAGGUGCGAAAGCGUGGGGAGCAAACAGGAUUAGAUACCCGGGUAGUC